Molecule: long non-coding RNA, 327 nt
Filed under: Panax ginseng (ginseng)
Lineage: Eukaryota; Viridiplantae; Streptophyta; Magnoliopsida; Apiales; Araliaceae
Description: long non-coding RNA (PGIN_LNC010690)
Source: RNAcentral
UUUUAUUUAUCCAACAUCUUUGUUCAUGCUUGUAAGUAAUCUCUUGGUAAUAAAGAAAGAGAGAAAGGGAGAGAAUGAGUGGGAUGAGAAUCAACCGCAUGGUCGGUUAUGUACAAGAGGAAAAGGAGAGUGGGUUGGACAUUUGAUAUACACCACACUUAAUAUCUAUCUCAUUUUUUCUUUCAUCUCUUUUAUUCUUCCAAGUUACAAAGAACUAAAUUAAGAGAGAGAGGGAGAGGAGUGGUCGGCAGCCACAAUGAGAAGAGGGAGGGGAGUUUUUUUUUGGUGAUACAUCAAAGCUCCAUAAUCAACUAAGAAGAAGAAGNN